This 63-nucleotide transfer RNA is filed under the name Abacion magnum. RNAcentral's name for it is "tRNA-Gly". Lineage: Eukaryota; Metazoa; Arthropoda; Diplopoda; Callipodida; Callipodidae. The record is from RNAcentral.
AUUUAAUUAGUAUACAAUAGUACCUUUGACUUCCAAUCAAAAAGUCUAACAAUAGAUUAAAUA